GUCGGGAUAGCUCACCGG
RNAcentral lists this transfer RNA (18 nucleotides) under Sapindus sp. D CHR-2022. RNAcentral's name for it is "partial tRNA-Phe". The record is from RNAcentral. Lineage: Eukaryota; Viridiplantae; Streptophyta; Magnoliopsida; Sapindales; Sapindaceae.